UACAGAGGGGGCAAGCGUUGUUCGGAAUUACUGGGCGUAAAGGGCGCGUAGGCGGCCUUCUAAGUCGAACGUGAAAUCCCCGGGCUCAACCCGGGAACUGCGUCCGAUACUGGAAGGCUUGAAUCCGGGAGAGGGAUGCGGAAUUCCAGGUGUAGCGGUGAAAUGCGUAGAUAUCUGGAGGAACACCGGUGGCGAAGGCGGCAUUCUGGACCAUAACUGACACUGAGAGACGAAAGCCAGGGGAGCAAACGGG
RNAcentral lists this ribosomal RNA (253 nucleotides) under uncultured bacterium. RNAcentral describes it as "partial 16S ribosomal RNA". It matches the Rfam family "Bacterial small subunit ribosomal RNA", at positions 524 to 776 of the family's 1533-position model. The record is from RNAcentral.